UACGAAGGGGGCUAGCGUUGUUCGGAUUAACUGGGCGUAAAGCGCGCGUAGGCGGGUUUUUAAGUCAGGGGUGAAAUCCCAAGGCUCAACCUUGGAACUGCCUUUGAUACUGGAAAUCUUGAGUCCGGGAGAGGUGAGUGGAACUGCGAGUGUAGAGGUGAAAUUCGUAGAUAUUCGCAAGAACACCAGUGGCGAAGGCGGCUCACUGGCCCGGUACUGACGCUGAGGUGCGAAAGCGUGGGGAGCAAACAGG
This 253-nucleotide ribosomal RNA is filed under the name uncultured bacterium. RNAcentral's name for it is "partial 16S ribosomal RNA". It matches the Rfam family "Bacterial small subunit ribosomal RNA", at positions 524 to 776 of the family's 1533-position model. The record is from RNAcentral.